RNAcentral lists this transfer RNA (71 nucleotides) under human gut metagenome. It matches the Rfam family "tRNA". Rfam says of the family: Transfer RNA (tRNA) molecules are approximately 80 nucleotides in length. The record is from RNAcentral. RNAcentral also lists the same sequence under 1 other name.
GCGAGAUAGCUCAGUUGGUUAGAGCAUUCGGUUCAUACCCGAAGGGUCGAGGGUUCGAAUCCCCCUCUCGC